AGCGGAAGUUGGCCCAUCCUAUACGUUACCGUAGUGUAAAUAUAAUCGCUCUGUAAUUAAAUUUCUUGGUGUAAAGUGAAAACGCUUCAAGGAUUCUCAACAGACAGAUUUCAUCGCUUUAUUUCUGGAAGUUUAUGUGAUUAACCGACACGUGCACAGCAUGUCCGAAGAGAAGCCUCCCGUGGCCGCGAACAUGUCCGAGCAGAAGUCUCCCGAAAGCAUUCCUGAAGAGAAGCCUGCCGCACAAAAGCAUCCUGGUCGUCCUUCAUACGUAUCAACCGUUGCCGCUGCCCGAGAAUCUGGACGGGAAGAACUGUACGAAACAUCAAAGAACUUCGUAGGUAAAGACGCUAAUGCUUGUGCUGUUUACGCAAAACUUCCCGACGAAAAGAAGCAGGAGUUACUGGCGGAGCGUCUUGGUAAUCCCCCAGGUGGGGGAUUGCAGAAGGUCGCUGAACGGGAGCCAAGAGAAAGCAAGAAACCGGCGGCAGAUAAGUGACGUUCAUCCAUGAUUGGUUGUGUUUUGCUGUUCUGAGUUACCAUUCUGUCAUAUCCGCCCAAUGGUGUGCUGAAGAACUUCUUAAACAUUCUUUUUUUUUCGGUUAACCGAAGUGAAGAAAUGUAAAAUGCGAAUUUUCGUUCUUACAUGGCAUAAAAACAUUUGCAAUGGCAAA
This is a long non-coding RNA of Paramacrobiotus metropolitanus, 674 nucleotides long. RefSeq lists it as uncharacterized. The transcript has 2 exons. NCBI's taxonomy places the organism in Eukaryota, Metazoa, Tardigrada, Eutardigrada, Parachela, Macrobiotidae. The record is from RefSeq and is a predicted model, not a curated record.